CAAAACGACUCUCGGCAACGGAUAUCUCGGCUCUCGCAUCGAUGAAGAACGUAGCGAAAUGCGAUACUGGGUGUGAAUUGCAGAAUCCCGUGAACCAUCGAGUCUUUGAACGCAAGUUGCGCCCGAAGCCUUUAGGCCGAGGGCACGUCUGCCUGGGCGUCACGCA
RNAcentral lists this ribosomal RNA (166 nucleotides) under Solanum gardneri. RNAcentral's name for it is "5.8S ribosomal RNA". It matches the Rfam family "5.8S ribosomal RNA". Rfam says of the family: 5.8S ribosomal RNA (5.8S rRNA) is a component of the large subunit of the eukaryotic ribosome. It is transcribed by RNA polymerase I as part of the 45S precursor that also contains 18S and 28S rRNA. Lineage: Eukaryota; Viridiplantae; Streptophyta; Magnoliopsida; Solanales; Solanaceae. The record is from RNAcentral.